RNAcentral lists this non-coding RNA (28 nucleotides) under Rattus norvegicus (Norway rat). Lineage: Eukaryota; Metazoa; Chordata; Mammalia; Rodentia; Muridae. The record is from RNAcentral.
UGGCGUCACCAACCCUGAAUGGCACAGC